RNAcentral lists this ribosomal RNA (253 nucleotides) under uncultured bacterium. RNAcentral describes it as "partial 16S ribosomal RNA". It matches the Rfam family "Bacterial small subunit ribosomal RNA", at positions 524 to 776 of the family's 1533-position model. The record is from RNAcentral.
UACGAAGGGGGGUAGCGUUGUUCGGAAUCACUGGGCGUAAAGGGUGCGUAGGCGGGUCUUUAGGUCAGGGGUGAAAUCCUGGAGCUCAACUCCAGAACUGCCUUCGAUACUGGGAGUCUCGAGUCCGGGAGAGGUGAGUGGAACUGCGAGUGUAGAGGUGAAAUUCGUAGAUAUUCGCAAGAACACCAGUGGCGAAGGCGGCUCACUGGCCCGGUACUGACGCUGAGGUGCGAAAGCGUGGGGAGCAAACAGG